This 1450-nucleotide ribosomal RNA is filed under the name bacterium. Its description in RNAcentral is "bacterial SSU rRNA". It matches the Rfam family "Bacterial small subunit ribosomal RNA". The record is from RNAcentral.
GCGCACCUAGCGGCGUGCUUAACACAUGCAAGUCGAGCGGUAAGGCCCUUCGGGGGUACACGAGCGGCGAACCGCCUAUUACGGGUGAGUAACACGUGGGUGACCUGCCCUCAGCUCUGGGCGGGAAACUGGGUCUAAUACCGGAUAUGACCUGCUGUUGCAUGACAGCGGGUGGAAAGUUUUUAGGAUGGGCCCGCGGCCUAUCAGCUUGUUGGUGGGGUGAUGGCCUACCAAGGCGACGACGGGUAGCCGGCCUGAGAGGGCGACCGGCCACACUGGGACUGAGAUACGGCCCAGACUCCUACGGGAGGCAGCAGUGGGGAAUAUUGCGCAAUGGGCGAAAGCCUGACGCAGCGACGCCGCGUGGGGGAUGACGGCCUUCGGGUUGUAAACCUCUUUCGACCGGGACGAAGGGAAACUGACGGUACCGGUAGAAGAAGCACCGGCCAACUACGUGCCAGCAGCCGCGGUAAUACGGCGAGCGUUGUCCGGAAUUAUUGGGCGUAAAGAGCUCGUAGGCGGAAGGCGCUAUAGCUGUGUCACGUCGGUCGUGAAAACUUGGGGCUUAACCCUGAGCGUGCGGUCGAUACGGGCAUCACUUGAGUUCGGCAGGGGAGACUGGAAUUCCUGGUGUAGCGGUGAAAUGCGCAGAUAUCAACGGCAUCGGAGGAACACCGGUGGCGAAGGCGGGUCUCUGGGCCGACACUGACGCUGAGGAGCGAAAGCGUGGGGAGCGAACAGGUAGAUACCCUGGUAGUCCACGCCGUAAACGGUGGGCACUAGGUGUGGGGGCCAAGCGGCAAUUCCACGGUCUCUGCCGCAGCUAACGCAUUAAGUGCCCCGCCUGGGGAGUACGGCCGCAAGGCUAAAACUCAAAGGAAUUGACGGGGGCCCGCACAAGCGGCGGAGCAUGUGGAUUAAUUCGAUGCAACGCGAAGAACCUUACCUGGGUUUGACAUGCACUAGACGCGUCUAGCUGGUGUGCAGGUGGUGCAUGGCUGUCGUCAGCACGCAUGCACUCGUGUCGUGAGAUGUUGGGUUAAGUCCCGCAACGAGCGCAACCCUCGUUCCAUGUUGCCAGCGGGUUAUGCCGGGGACUCAUGGGAGACUGCCGGGGUCAACUCGGAGGAAGGUGGGGAUGACGUCAAGUCAUCAUGCCCCUUAUGUCCAGGGCUUCACACAUGCUACAAUGGCUAGUACAGAGGGCUGCGAGACCGCGAGGUGGAGCGAAUCCCUUAAAGCUAGUCUCAGUUCGGAUCGGGGUCUGCAACUCGACCCCGUAGCUUGCGAACGAAGUUGGAGUCGCUAGUAAUCGCAGAUCAGCAACGCUGCGGUGAAUACGUUCCCGGGCCUUGUACACACCGCCCGUCACGUCAUGAAAGUUGGUAACACCCGAAGCCGAUGGCCUAACCCCUUGUGGGAGGGAGUCGUCGAAGACGCUGCCACUGCA